CAGUAGCCGCGGUAAUACGUAGGGUGCAAGCGUUAAUCGGUAUUACUGGGCGUAAAGCGUGCGCAGGCGGUUCUAUAAGACAGAUGUGAAAUCCCCGGGCUCAACCUGGGAACUGCAUUUGUGACUGUAGAGCUGGAGUGCGGCAGAGGGGGAUGGAAUUCCGCGUGUAGCAGUGAAAUGCGUAGAUAUGCGGAGGAACACCGAUGGCGAAGGCAAUCCCCUGGGCCUGCACUGACGCUCAUGCACGAAAGCGUGGGGAGCAAACAGGAUUAGAUACCCCAGUAGUCCCUGUCUCUUAUAC
This 301-nucleotide ribosomal RNA is filed under the name uncultured bacterium. Its description in RNAcentral is "partial 16S ribosomal RNA". It matches the Rfam family "Bacterial small subunit ribosomal RNA", at positions 509 to 807 of the family's 1533-position model. The record is from RNAcentral.